RNAcentral lists this ribosomal RNA (435 nucleotides) under uncultured bacterium. RNAcentral describes it as "partial 16S ribosomal RNA". It matches the Rfam family "Bacterial small subunit ribosomal RNA", at positions 29 to 507 of the family's 1533-position model. The record is from RNAcentral.
AACGAACGCUGGCGGCAUGCCUAACACAUGCAAGUCGAACGAUUGCCUUCGGGUGAUAGUGGCGCACGGGUGCGUAACGCGUGGGAAUCUGCCCUUAGGUUCGGAAUAACAGCUGGAAACGGCUGCUAAUACCGGAUGAUAUCGCGAGAUCAAAGAUUUAUCGCCUGAGGAUGAGCCCGCGUUGGAUUAGGUAGUUGGUGGGGUAAAGGCCUACCAAGCCGACGAUCCAUAGCUGGUCUGAGAGGAUGAUCAGCCACACUGGGACUGAGACACGGCCCAGACUCCUACGGGAGGCAGCAGUGGGGAAUAUUGGACAAUGGGCGCAAGCCUGAUCCAGCAAUGCCGCGUGAGUGAUGAGGGCCCUAGGGUUGUAAAGCUCUUUUACCCGGGAAGAUAAUGACUGUACCGGGAGAAUAAGCCCCGGCUAACUCCGUG